This 120-nucleotide unclassified non-coding RNA is filed under the name Peribacillus simplex. RNAcentral's name for it is "Bacillus simplex yybP-ykoY". Lineage: Bacteria; Bacillati; Bacillota; Bacilli; Caryophanales; Bacillaceae. The record is from RNAcentral.
UAUUCCCGUGAAGGGGAGUAGCGUCAGGGAUAACCUGAAAUAAAGUCGUCAUUACGUGGGAAUCCCACCGGCUUUAUUGGCCUAAUUCAUUUAGUGCUUAGCGAGACCUUUGCCAUAUUU